Small nucleolar RNA from Etheostoma spectabile (orangethroat darter), 221 nucleotides. RefSeq annotates it as small nucleolar RNA U3. The record is from RefSeq and is a predicted model, not a curated record. The transcript has a single exon. Lineage: Eukaryota; Metazoa; Chordata; Actinopteri; Perciformes; Percidae.
AAGACUAUAUUUUCAGGGAUCAUUUCUAGACUUUCUGACUUGAGGAAUGUAUUUCUAAAGUGUUUGGUCUCGCUGACCACGAUGAUGAGUUGUGAUAUUCUUUUCUGAGCGUGAAGCUGACAGAGAGUAAUGAUUCACUUCAUAUGCUCUCUGUCAUUGAUGAUCGUUGUUUGCUUCUUUUGAGGAAGGAGUAUUGAGGAAGGGAAAAUAAUCAGAGUGGU